RNAcentral lists this ribosomal RNA (397 nucleotides) under uncultured bacterium. RNAcentral's name for it is "partial 16S ribosomal RNA". It matches the Rfam family "Bacterial small subunit ribosomal RNA", at positions 523 to 918 of the family's 1533-position model. The record is from RNAcentral.
AUACGUAGGGGGCGAGCGUUGUCCGGAAUGAUUGGGCGUAAAGGGCGCGUAGGCGGCGCGGUAAGUCUGGAGUGAAAGUCCUGCUUUCGAGGUGGGAAUUGCUUUGGAUACUGCCGCGCUUGAGUGCAGGAGAGGUUAUCGGAAUUCCCGGUGUAGCGGUGAAAUGCGUAGAGAUCGGGAGGAACACCAGUGGCGAAGGCGGGUAACUGGACUGCAACUGACGCUGAGGCGCGAAGGUGUGGGGAGCAAACAGGAUUAGAUACCCUGGUAGUCCACACUGUAAACGAUGAAUGCUAGGUGUAAGAGGUAUCGACCCCUUUUGUGCCGGAGUCAACACAAUAAGCAUUCCGCCUGGGGAGUACGGCCGCAAGGUUGAAACUCAAAGGAAUUGACGGGG